Molecule: ribosomal RNA, 253 nt
Filed under: uncultured bacterium
Lineage: Bacteria
Description: partial 16S ribosomal RNA
Rfam family: Bacterial small subunit ribosomal RNA
Source: RNAcentral
UACGAAGGGGGCAAGCGUUGCUCGGAAUCACUGGGCGUAAAGCGCACGUAGGCGGUUCUUUAAGUCAGGGGUGAAAUCCUGGAGCUCAACUCCAGAACUGCCUUUGAUACUGGGGAUCUCGAGUCCGGAAGAGGUGAGUGGAACUCCGAGUGUAGAGGUGAAAUUCGUAGAUAUUCGGAAGAACACCAGUGGCGAAGGCGGCUCACUGGUCCGGUACUGACGCUGAGGUGCGAAAGCGUGGGGAGCAAACAGG